AGAGUUUGAUCCUGGCUCAGAAUCAACGCUGGCGGCGUGCCUAACACAUGCAAGUCGAACGAGAAAGUGGAGCAAUCCAUGAGUAAAGUGGCGACCGGGUGAGUAACACGUGACUAACCUACCUCCGAGUGGGGAAUAACUCCGGGAAACCGGGGCUAAUACCGGAUAACUUCUUCCUCCGCAUGGAGGAAUAUUGAAAG
RNAcentral lists this ribosomal RNA (200 nucleotides) under uncultured bacterium. Its description in RNAcentral is "partial 16S ribosomal RNA". It matches the Rfam family "Bacterial small subunit ribosomal RNA", at positions 8 to 207 of the family's 1533-position model. The record is from RNAcentral.